UACGUAGGGGACCGAGCGUUUGUCCGGAUUCAUUGGGCGUAAAGAGCGUGUAGGCGGCUUGGUAGGUCCGCUGUGAAAACUCGAGGCUCAACCUCGAGAUGUCGGCGGAAACCACUUGGCUAGAGUCCGGAAGAGGAGAGUGGAAUUCCCGGUGUAGCGGUGAAAUGCGCAGAUAUCGGGAAGAACACCUAUGGCGAAGGCAGCUCUCUGGGACGGUACUGACGCUGAGACGCGGAAAGCGUGGGGAGCGAACAGG
This 256-nucleotide ribosomal RNA is filed under the name uncultured bacterium. Its description in RNAcentral is "partial 16S ribosomal RNA". It matches the Rfam family "Bacterial small subunit ribosomal RNA", at positions 524 to 776 of the family's 1533-position model. The record is from RNAcentral.